UUAGAAAGUAACAGCAAGAAGUUCUCAUCUGUACAUUAUGCAGACAAAUGAAGGAUAUCCGUAGCACAGGCGUAGGGUAUACAAAGGACACUUACAUUGGAACUGCCUCAGCUGGAACAACAGUGCACCAGAGGCAUGAAUUUUAACGGAAUGCAGUGUGAUGACAGCCCUGGAGAGAACAUGAAUGGUGGAUUGUGAACAUUGUCCCUCUUUCUUUCCUGUGCGAUUUCAUCUCAGAGCUGAGUUUUGCUUUUGUUCCUUUACUGAAUGCUGGGACAGCUUAUCUUGACAUCCAGCUGCUUCUGCUGCUGAAGGGGAAACCUGCUGUUUUGAACUCCUCUGCUGGAAGCAGCUAAAGGAAGAAGUCAGAUGCUGGGGACAUUGUGUGGCCAAUGAAGGCCAAUUUUAGUCUGCAGGAGACUGAAAGACUGGUACAAAAGGCCACCAAAGACUCUCAGCUACUGUUUUGUCUGCAGCUUCCAAAGGAGAGCCUGCCAAGAAGCUUAAAGUGUGGAAUUGGAUCCUGCAUUUGCCUACGUCAGUGCCCUUAGAGACUGAAAGUGGGAUAUAGGGAUCUCAGGUCCAGGGGACAGUGGAAAAGGAUAGUGAAAAGCAAGUUGGCAGAACAUCCGACAGCUGUUCGAGCAACUGUUUGGGAGUCAAUGCAACCACUUAUGCACUCAGGCUUACUGGUAACUACCAGUCCUUGAACAAGCCAUACAAGGUAAGAGGCAGAGAGAUGAUAUAUUGAAAGAAAAACUCAGUUUAGCAUCAAGGGAAAUUUGCAAUACCAGUGGGCAAUAGGCUGUUCACAAACAACACUAGCAUGUAUUCUAGUGAACCAGACAUUUAACAGUGCAGUUAUUCGUUUGUAAUUAUAGUUACAGACAUCUUGUACGUAUACAUGAUCACAGCUGAAACAACUGCAUACCCAUGGAUUAAUUCAUUGAACAGUGUUAUGACAAGGCAGUUAACAAAUCACUGGAUCCCUUCCCAAGCGAAAAUAUAUUUUAAAAAAACAAACAAAAAAACCUACUUCAAGAUAAAACAAGAAGCAUGUUCCCUGCGUAAUAUUCCAGAGGAAAAGAUGUUCCAUAAUAUUUUUCUUGGAACUAUAGAAUCAACUCCGUGUCCCAACAGUUCAAAGGAUUAAAAAGAAAAAUUGGAGCCUUGGUUUUUUGGCAUCGGAACUUCAGAUUUUAUUUCGCAGUCAUCCUUAAGGCAGAAGCAGGGCAAAACAAAUGGGCCCCCCUACCAUGAAAAUAGUAUGGGGGGACUCCCCAUGACAACCAGGCCAGUUAAUGGAAUAGAACUGUUACAGGAAUGUAUUUCUUCUUGGAAAUGGGGCUACAUAUAGGCUACUACAUGCAGAACUAAAAGGAAGCCUUCUAAAGCAAUGACUUGUGAAAGGAACAAACUAUAAUAAAAAUAAGACUCUUAACCUUGUGACAGGAACACUGAACUUCGUUGAGUCAUUUAGGCUCCAGAUGUGAGCUAUCUAAUAAUAAUAAUUUGGUAGACAACAUCUGCCAGACUGUAAAUCUCUGUUUAGUUUUUUUGUGGGGGAGGGUUAACCCACAAUUACUAUUGAUUUCACUGCCAUCUGUCUGUGAGUGCAAGGGGAUGCCUGGUGGUGUCCGAGGUGAGAGAGAAGAAUUAGUGAGAAAAAAGCUACUCUCACUUAUCCCAGAAGACUGACCCAGUGCUUAGCUGAGGGCUGGAGGGAUUCAAAAGUGAGCUUUCACCCCAGAUUUGCACUCCAGAUAGCACUGUGUGUUCCUGCACUGUACCAAAGGAUCAGGCUCUAUGUUGCUGCAUCGGCUUUUAGCAUUGUCAGCUGAUGUUUACCAGUAACUCUGAGGAGGCCCCUUUUCCAGAUGCAAUGACUAGUCUUGAUGAUCAUUCAUGAGUUCCCAUCGGUGCAGAACGAAAGUCGAUGUAUUCUUGUAUCUAGUGUAAACAAAAAUAUCUUGAAAUUUGGCUUAUUUGAAUAGUGUAAUAAUUGGAUGUGGAAAUCUAUGUGGAUACUAAAUAUAUCUAUUUUCUUUU
Long non-coding RNA from Gopherus evgoodei (Goodes thornscrub tortoise), 2049 nucleotides. RefSeq lists it as uncharacterized. The record is from RefSeq and is a predicted model, not a curated record. The transcript is spliced from 3 exons. NCBI's taxonomy places the organism in Eukaryota, Metazoa, Chordata, Testudines, Testudinidae.